ACGGCCACACCACAUUGAAAACAUCUGUUUUCGUCCGAUCACCAAAGUUAAGCAAUGUCGGGCCCGGUCAGUACUUGGGAGGGUGACCAUCUGGGAACACCGGGUGCUGUAGACU
Molecule: ribosomal RNA, 115 nt
Filed under: Cordylochernes scorpioides
Lineage: Eukaryota; Metazoa; Arthropoda; Arachnida; Pseudoscorpiones; Chernetidae
Source: RNAcentral